AACGAACGCUGGCGGCAUGCCUAACACAUGCAAGUCGAACGAGACCUUCGGGUCUAGUGGCGCACGGGUGCGUAACGCGUGGGAACCUGCCCUUAGGUUCGGAAUAACUCCCCGAAAGGGGUGCUAAUACCGGAUAAUGUCUUCGGAGCAAAGAUUUAUCGCCUUUGGAUGGGCCCGCGUUGGAUUAGCUAGUUGGUAGGGUAAAAGCCUACCAAGGCGACGAUCCAUAGCUGGUCUGAGAGGAUGAUCAGCCACACUGGGACUGAGACACGGCCCAGACUCCUACGGGAAGCAGCAGUGGGGAAUAUUGGACAAUGGGCGAAAGCCUGAUCCAGCAAUGCCGCGUGAGUGAUGAAGGCCUUAGGGUUGUAAAGCUCUUUUACCCGGGAUGAUAAUGACAGUACCGGGAGAAUAAGCUCCGGCUAACUCCGUG
RNAcentral lists this ribosomal RNA (433 nucleotides) under uncultured bacterium. Its description in RNAcentral is "partial 16S ribosomal RNA". It matches the Rfam family "Bacterial small subunit ribosomal RNA", at positions 29 to 507 of the family's 1533-position model. The record is from RNAcentral.